CGGGAAACCGGAGCUAAUACCGGAUAAUAUAUUGAACCGCAUGGUUCAAUAGUGAAAGACGGUUUUGCUGUCACUUAUAGAUGGAUCCGCGCUGCAUUAGCUAGUUGGUAAGGUAACGGCUUACCAAGGCAACGAUGCGUAGCCGACCUGAGAGGGUGAUCGGCCACACUGGAACUGAGACACGGUCCAGACUCCUACGGGAGGCAGCAGCC
This 212-nucleotide ribosomal RNA is filed under the name uncultured Staphylococcus sp. Its description in RNAcentral is "partial 16S ribosomal RNA". It matches the Rfam family "Bacterial small subunit ribosomal RNA", at positions 150 to 355 of the family's 1533-position model. Lineage: Bacteria; Bacillati; Bacillota; Bacilli; Caryophanales; Staphylococcaceae. The record is from RNAcentral.